UGCUGACUGAGACACAGCGCGUUGCUUGGAGUGAAGCCCUUGUGGAUUGUGUCUACUGAAUCUGGAGUGAAGCCCUUUGUGGAUUAUUUAUGUUGCUGUUGUUGUGUUUGAAAACGGUGUUUGAUUAUCACGAUUUUGAAAACCAGCCAGCAUCAGUCUGAUGCAGACGCAGCACGCAACAUUGUUUUUUGAAUGAGAAAUGGCAGAAGGCAGUGACAGCGCCAGGAGAUUUCAUCAUAAAAAUCAUAAUUUGUGUUCUAAUGAAGAAACAAAGUCACCUACAUCUUGGAUGCCCUGGGGUUAAGCAGAUAAACAUCACAUUUUCAUUUUUGGGUGAACUAUCCCUUUAAGAAUUUUUAAUUUGUAGAAAUGUGAUGAUAAAUGUUCAUCGUAGUUCACAGUCCUGAAAUGUGUGUAUAGUAUUUCUUGUUCUGUAGCAGAUUAUGAGAAAGCCAGACAGAAGGCUAAAAAGACUCAGACAUCCUCUUGUCUCAACUCAGAAAAUGACAGCAUUCUAGGAAAGUUUAUUUGGAAGAGAAAGUGAGUUUCUUUGUUUUCACAUUGUAACUUAUAUAAAACUUUGCACAGAUGUAAGAAGCACCCAUGGUAGGAAUGUAGAGUGUGAAAUUUCAGAUUACAAACACCUACAGUAGCAUUAAUGGUUCACUAUGUAACUUUUUCAAGGAAAAAAAUAGGUAAAGAAAUUUGAGUGAGUACAUCAUGAAUCCAUCUUCCAAACAAUGUUUUUGUCUUAUUCUGAAUCACUACAGUAUGCCUAUAAUAAGUGUUUAUAUUCAGACUAUUUUUGGCUGUGUGACUCUUCAUAGACAUAAACAGAGAGAAGUAGCUCCGCAAGAUGCAUGUGGUUUGUUUAUUAACUGCUAGAGCACCAAAAGUUACACAGUGUACCUUUAAUUGUUAAUUUAAGGAAAACCAGAUUACCUAGGAUUCCGUUUUAGAAUGACCCUUCUGUUUAAAAUGAGUUAACAUUGUCCUUACAUACACUUUUACAAUUCAAAACAGAAGGUAUUUCAGAGAAACUUAUUUAUUUUUAUGUACAACAGACCAAACACACACUACCCUGAUCAGAGCCACUCUUCUGAAGAAGAAGACAAUUAAACGAAGAAAGCGCUCUGUACUGGUUCCUCCAUCCCCACUGUCCCCAUCAUCUCAACAAUCUUCACCAGACCUGCCAGCUCCACCUGCUCCACCAACUUUACCUCAGUCAAGAAGGCAGCCAAUUACACAUAAGCACUGAUUUCAGGUUAUAUAUCAUGAAGUGGGUAUUGUUGUAUAAACAAAAACUGUAAAUGAAUAUUAAUUAAUGAGUACAAUAUAUUUUUGUUACUUUUUUCAAGAUUAUAUAUUUUCUAUGUCUCUGUCUUUUUAUUAAUCUGUCCUUCCCUCUGUCUUCCCUCUGACUCUCUCUCUUCCUCAACAGCAACAGAACGACACAUAAGUCAGCUAAAAAACCUGAACGAAGAGGUUGCUGUCAUCAAGCAGUUAUUAUUGACACUGACAAAACAAAACUCUGUGGCUGCAGACCUGCUGGAGGGUGUCACUUUGACACUAAAAAAAAAAAAAAAAAAAAAAAAAAAAAAGAGUGGAAUUAAUGCAUUUCUUAAUGCAUUAAUGCAUUUUUGUAUUUUUUUUUUUUUUUUUUUAGGAAAUAAACUGAAGGAGGAGGCCUGCUAAAGUGCAAUGGCAAAGUAUCUGGCAGCAGUUGGGGGUACAAGCCCAACCUCCAACACGAGACGUAUCCUGGUCUGCAUACUAACCAUCCCGCUGACCCAGCAACUGUGCUGGAAGGGCUCUGGCCAGAAGAAUCUUUGGGAAGAUGAUGGUACAGUAUGUAAUGUUUAUAUGGGAUAAGCCCUUAUAGCUGAAUGAAAAAAAAAAAAAGAAAUGGGAAGGAAAUCAGUAGUGCCCUAUGAAACUUGUUUGUUGGAGGUCCUCCUGCCCCGUUGACUGCACAGAAAAUAACUGACCUCUUUAAGGUCAUUUAUUCAGAGAGAGGCAGUUCUUGCCGGUCAGCCAGUGGAGAGACUGGCUGAUCGACAUAGAGGGUAUGCACACUUUGUUAAGUACAAUUGAAAAAUGUCAGUCAUAAACAAUGUGUUACAUAGUAAUGAUAAGUUUAGUGGUCCACUUCACAAAUGAACACACUGUCUGGAAGUACUUAAAUCAACAUUGUCAUGAGGGUGUACAUACUGAACAACAAAACAGUUCUCACAAAUUCAUUAAGACAAAGAAAAAAUGAAUUCUUUGGACUAGAGGUGUGAAUCUUGUAUUGCCUCAUGAUUGUAUUCAAUUACGAUUUAGAGGGUACGAUUCGAUUACAAAACAAUUCUUCACAAUUUAUCUUUUACUCCCAUUAUUUUGUUGAAAAUAAUUGCUAUAUUGAUACUUACAAUAUAGCUUUUUGUUAUUGUAUGUUUUUAUUAAUAAUAAACAGUGGCAUAAUUAUAAGAAACAAAUUAAACGAACAGUGCUUACUUUUUACAAUUCAUAUCUAAACAGAAGCAUUCAAGUAACAAAAACAGAAAUUGAUUACAUGUGAAAAUAAUCACUAUUUACUCUAUAGUUGUCACAGUUCCCUUGUCUCCCGGACUCCAUUUCCCAUGAUCCUCCUGUAUCCACACCUGCACUCACUUCCCUCGUCUUCUCCCCAUCAUCACAGAUCACCUGCACCUGGACUUCCUCAUCUGCACUCCCUUUAUAUUGGACUCACUCCCUUCACUCCUUGUCCGUUCUCUGUUGUUGCUAAUGUUAUGUAGUUUAUGUUUGGUGUCUCCUCCGUUGUUCAUUAAAGUGCCUGUUAUUGUG
Long non-coding RNA from Megalobrama amblycephala (Wuchang bream), 2826 nucleotides. RefSeq lists it as uncharacterized. The record is from RefSeq and is a predicted model, not a curated record. The transcript is spliced from 2 exons. NCBI's taxonomy places the organism in Eukaryota, Metazoa, Chordata, Actinopteri, Cypriniformes, Xenocyprididae.